RNAcentral lists this long non-coding RNA (895 nucleotides) under Mus pahari (shrew mouse). Its description in RNAcentral is "lncRNA (MGP_PahariEiJ_G0002883.1)". Lineage: Eukaryota; Metazoa; Chordata; Mammalia; Rodentia; Muridae. The record is from RNAcentral.
GAGAGAGGAAGCCAGAGGACGGGGAGGCCGGCUUUCCUUUCCAGGAUGCCUAGGAAGAACCAAUCUAUACCUGGGAGACGACACAUCGCCUUCCCACGGUACACGGGGACUAAAAUUUCAUCCCAGAAACUUGUGGGGGGCAGAUCCCUUCCAAAGCACAGUCUAUAGGACAACCCCCUGUACCUUCUGCAGCCUGGGACACCACUGGGCUAUGUUUGAACCUGACUUUGGAUAUACUAAAACAUGUGGCAAUAUGUUAAAUACAGGAAAUACCUGUUCAUGUAUGGUGAUCUCCAGCAGGAAGCAAACGACAACACCGCACUGAAGCAGCAUACGUGACCGACGGAGCUAUCGUGUACCAGCUCCUUCCUUAUUUCUGAUCACCCUGUACUCAAUUAGCCCGGCUUCUCACCAAGACUGGUCCCUAGACUGUGGGGACACCAGGCUGGAAGCCAGGAAUGGCCCUCAAGCCUACCAGAGUGUCCAAGCUGCUUUACUAAUACCUUUGAACCUUCUGAAGACUGGACCAGAGUUGAAAUUUGUUAGAAAAUAGAAAAACAGCGUUGGCACAACACUACCAGUCAUCAUGUACAUCCCUGAAUAACGAAUAUUCAUAUCUAGGUCAUGCCUCCUGAUGUGUAACUGAAGAUAAUAACUGUAUGAAUGAACAAUUUAAAGUUCCGGGGGAACAAUGUGCUACUCUGGACGAUUCCACCAGCACCACCCCCUCUUUCAGCUCAGCGUCACAGCUAUCCAGAGGUGAAGGGUGGGCACACAUCGAACUUUGAGAAAUGCACAUAAUAUGAAUCUCAAGGAAAGAGAAAAGCCACGAAAUCUAUACUAGGCGGAAUCCCUGUGUUAAGAUUCACAAAUAAAAGCCUUUUAGAGUCUGUGG